Molecule: long non-coding RNA, 458 nt
Filed under: Lathyrus oleraceus (garden pea)
Lineage: Eukaryota; Viridiplantae; Streptophyta; Magnoliopsida; Fabales; Fabaceae
Description: Pisum sativum (pea) long non-coding RNA (PSAT_LNC005697)
Source: RNAcentral
CAUUGUUUGAGGAAAGGUAGUUUUAUGUGUAGUUUAUGGUGUGUUGGGGGUUCGUGUUUUAAAAAUGGAAGAAAUGGUGAGUUGAAGAAAAAAAGGAAAAAAUGAAUGGCAAGAAGAAAAGGAAAAAAACGUUGUUAAUGAUCCACGUUACUCUUUGGGGGUGAUCACUAGUAUGUGUAGCGGUAAAUUCAUGAUUAUCAAGUUAUGGAUAAGCAAGACAUCAAAUAACAAGAGUCGCCACCGCGCUUUUAUUGUUUCCAAGGGAAAAGGGAAAAAGUACGAACAAAACCCAAAAGUAAGAAGUUUUCAAAUUAAAACUAAUAAAAUGCCAGAGAUUACAGGUAAGGGGGUUGGUUACACAUAGGGAAGGUGUUAGGAUCCAAAGUGUCUUAGGUACUCCUAGGGAGCCCUUUUUUGUGUGCAUAUGUAUUUUGUACAAAAUGAUGUUUACAAACAAA